Molecule: non-coding RNA, 29 nt
Filed under: Homo sapiens (human)
Lineage: Eukaryota; Metazoa; Chordata; Mammalia; Primates; Hominidae
Source: RNAcentral
UCUCCCUUGACUGAGGAGCCUCGGUUGUU